This is a long non-coding RNA of Macaca mulatta (Rhesus monkey), 3961 nucleotides long. NCBI's taxonomy places the organism in Eukaryota, Metazoa, Chordata, Mammalia, Primates, Cercopithecidae. The record is from Ensembl.
AUGACAUGGGGAAGGCCGACAGCGAUUUCCUAUCCAGCAUGGAGGCCAGGGAGCUGCUCUCCAGGCUCCUCCCACAGUGUUCAGCUAAGAGAUAAAGAGGAAGAGCCAUCCUGUGAACCUAGGCUGGGGAAGCCCCACUGUGCUCAGGGCCACUGUCACCAGUAUCAGCAACAUGCCAUGUCUCAGCAGCCCAAACCACCCUGCACCAGAGACAAAACAGGACAAGACCUGAGAAGGAGGCCAAGAAGGGAUACUGACAAGACUGGAGCCAAAUCCCCACGAAGACAGCUGUCUCUUGAGCCCCCUUCACAUCCAUCUGAACACCGUCUGUCCCUCUGACACUGUGCAAUGCCACAUAAGAGAUGUCCCCGUAGUGACGAGUUUGCCUAAUGUCCUGCUGGGUAAGUACCACUUUCCUAAUUCCUGCCUGAAUUCUGACCAUCCUCAGGGCAUGGGUUAAGGACCUCUUCUCCUUUGAAGCCUAUCUUGAUCCCUGGUUUGAGAUGGUCACUGCUGCUCUGAGCCCUAUGACCUGAAUUUGCACUCAUGGCCUUUACUGUGUCUGCCUCUAAUAUUCCUCUCAGGGGUCUCCUUUCUCCCACGUCCUAGCCCAGGGCCCAGGGCAUGGUAGUUGCUCAAUAAAUGUGUUUUGGAUAAGUUAUAUCCUGGAAAUACUACUGAGCUUUGUAUCCGAGACCUUGAAUUAAAAUCUUGCUCUGCUACACUGACAAGCUGGAUACACCUGACUGUGUCCUAUAGCAGUAUUAAAACGUGGCCUCAUCUGAAGGAUGGAGGUGAUGGUCUCAUUACUGCAUCCCGCACCAUCACUCUUGGUAGGUCAAAUGAGAAGCCAGAUGUUAAAUGGCUACAACAGUUGUACAAUACAACUAAAUGGGCUUCAUAAUUGUGCUUUCGCUACUUCCAUUUUACUGACCCCUAGUUUUAUCACUAUUAAAAAUGAGUACUAGAAGGAAGGUCCUAGGUUCUUCUGAACAAAUUCAUUUCAAUUUCUCAGUUAUCUCCUUCAGAAGGAACUGGUUUCAUUUAGCCUCUUCUUGAAAUCAGUUUCAGCAGAGUAAGGUGGUACAGAUCCUUUAGCUGUAAAACUAAAGAGCUGGGGCCAUUCUCUCCGCACCAAGUUGUGACUCACUGUUGUGAUCUAAGUGUUCAUAUAUUCUCAGGGGUCCCUGAACCCUCAAAGUGGGCAGAGACCACCUUCUUGGGAUCUAACAUUAUGUGUGUGAAAGUUUAAGAAGUGAAUGUGUGCCUCAUUUUGGAAAGCUAAUAUUUGUUUCUUUGUGAGCCCCAAAAGCUGAGCUAGCUGUUUGGCUUUUCAUGAGAUUUGAAGUUACUUUCAGGGCUUCCUGAGGGAGAGCAAAAUGGAACAGAAAAUUAGCAGAGAUAUUAAGGACCAGAGGAAAACACAGUAACAAGAAAUGGACAGGAGAAAUGUGGUACAGGGCACAUCCAGAUCCCAUCUCACGCAUAGGCCUGGAUGGAAACACAGGCUUCUAAGUUGGGGCUCUUGAAAAUGUUGCUGCAAUCAUGAGGAAGAUUUACUGGCUUUUGGUCAAAGCAUUAACUAAGAAGCCAACCUUGGUAUCCAGAGCAUUAUUUUCUACACCAGAUAACAGAAAUGGAGGGCCAGUUGGCUUGCUGUAUCUUUGGUUAUCACUUCCUACCUAGGGUUUCGUGAACUCCCUUGCCCUGGCAACAGACUUGCAGGCUUGUCCCUCCAUAGACAGACCUGAGUACUACUCUGAAGACCAUGGGGAAGGACAGGAUAUGUUUCUGCCCAUGGGGAUGAAACUCACCCAGAAAGCCCAGCCUACUUUUCUGCCUUCCAAGCAUAUUCGGCUGGCAGAAUUAUAAACAUUUUUGGUCACUAGCCAUUGACUUUGGGGGUUCUAGAACAGAAGCAUGAAUAGUGAUUCUUAGGUCUCAAGAACUGAGAAACAUUGUCUUCAAUAUGCAGUUGCUGAGCCCUCCUUGCCAGGAAUUGUCCCCGGCCACCCCUUCCAGCAGACCCAUAGCAGAGUGCAUGUCCCUGCUGUGUUCUCUCACAUCACCCCAUGGUGACCUCCGCCUCUGAAUUUAUUACAUGGGGCUGAAAUUAUGUGUUAACUUCUCCAUCUUCCCAAACAAACCAUAACCUUUUAGAGGUCAGGGGUGCUGCCAUAUGACCAGUUCAGGUGGCCCAAUCUUGCUUUGUGACCUAAGAGCUUAACAAAGUGUCUGGAAGUUAGCAGGUGCUCAGUACAUGUUUGUGAAAGGGAGGAAGGAAUGGCCAAACUCUUUCGGGAGCCAGGAAGUUCCAACAGAAGUGUAGAAGGACUAUUGGACCUCCAGAAUGCAAGAGGCUUCCAGCCAAGAAAAUAUGCCUGUAAUCCUAGCACUUUGGGAGGUCGAGGCAGGAGGAUCACUUGAGCCCAGGAGUUCGAGACCAGCCUGGGCAACAUUGUGGGACCCUGAUCUCCAUAAAAAAUACAAAAAUUAUCUGGGCAUGGUGGCACACACUUAUAGUCCCAGCUACUCAGAGGCUUAGGCAGGAGGAUUGCUUGAGUCUGGGAGGUUGGGGCUUCAGUGAGCCAUAAUUGCACCACUGCACUCCAACCUGGGUGAUAGAAUGAGAUUCUGUCUUGAAAAAAAAAAAAUUAUCAGUAAUAACAAAAUAAAUUUGUAGAUAGAUGCAUAGAGAGAGAGUCUGAUAAAUAGAUAAUAGUAAUAACACCACAUGAAAUGUACUGGGCAUUAAGUCUGUGUUAAGCAUUUUGCAGGCAUCCUCUCAUGUAAUUUCCCCACAGCACUAUGAGGUUUGCAGUAUAACCCAGUUGCGUCAGUGCGGGAAUGUGGUCCUGAGGAGCGAUCUACAUCGCUCCCUACAGAGACUCUCCCUACAGAUCUUCUGUCCAUGCCUGGAGUGAUUCUUAGGGGUCAAUGGAGGGAUGCCUCUCAGAUCUUGCUGUUUACUAUGUGUCCACCAUGUGCCAGGCAAUGGGGUGGGCCCUACAUAUGCAUUCUCAUUGAACCUCACGGGAAUCCUGAGGGAGGCAUAUUACUAUCAAUAACACCUUGAUAAAUGAAGAAAUCGAGACUUAGAAAUGGGAAAAAAUUAAAAUGAGUCCAGGCUACAGGCAGUUCCACAGAAUCUGGCAUACAGUUGUCACUCACUAAAUAUGUAUUGGAUUAAAUGAAAUGGAAUUGAAUGGAGUAUUCUCCACAAAGGUGAACUCUAUUUUCUGGUGCUUCAUUUCGCCAGACCUGGCAGAUUGCCACCCGCAAUCUCCCUUUACGAGGCUGCACUGUGCCUUGGGAGCCGUCUAAACAAGCAAGAACAGGAGCAGUACCUCCCACAUGAAGGAGAGUGUGUGGCGGUCAUGAAUUUGGGUUGAGGCUGUGGCCAGUGGGCCACAAAAUUUCAUCAGCCUUGUAAAGGGAGAUAUAUUUAUGCAAAAGACUUGCCAGUUGGACUGCAUGGGGCUCUUUCUCCCCAUAACACCUUAGGAAGGCAGUUCUGUGGUACCAGGGUGGCUGACAGCCAACCCAGCCCAGCACACGAGUGGAGAGUUGUCAAAUACAUCUGUAUAUCUGACCCAGUGGCUUGCGGCACUUAGGUGCCAGGGGCUCCAGCAGCGAUCCAGAGAAGAACGAGGAAAUUGUGUUAAGUCACUGAAAAUAAUUUGCUUUAAAAAAGUGUAUGUAUUGGUUGUCUCCUACCUAGAAAUCUCUCUCAGUGGGGGAAUAAUUUUGGAUUUCUAUAGCUAACUUGGAAAUGAGGACUUAUAAUAUUUUUGGUUGGUAACACCAAAAGUCUGUGCAGUUUAAUAUCACCAGAUUUAAUAUUAAAAUUGGAAUGUGGGGUCUAAAUGGUAAUUCAAACAAUUAUAAUUAUAUAUUAAAUACACUGUAUUUUAAUUAUAUAAUUGCAUAUUAAUAUUUGUAUACUGACUGUUCGUAUUAA